CGAACAAGAACAACUAUGAUGCAAAUAUCUAUCCAUACCAAACUUUUAUUGCACAGGCUAAUUGUAUCUCUAGCUCAAGAAAAUCAAAUUCUAAACAAAAAGCAGCAUUCUUUAUUAAGGUAUGAGAUGGUAACUCACCUUUGAAGUAUAUUUAAAGAGAACUCUAAAGAAAACGAAAGUGUCCUAAAAUGGGUAACUAACUCAAUCAACCACCCGACAAGGAGACCCACAACCCCAAUUGCUAUUACAAGAAUAAUAUUGGAUGACCUGCGAAGUUUAGCACAGUUACAAGCCAAUCUUCAACCUUCAUUAAUCUGCAACAUAAAUGAAUAUCUGGUCGCUCCGGUUUCAACCAUGAGUGCCGUAAGAAUUUCAGUAACAUAGAUAAAUGUUUCAAGCCAUGUAUAGUAAGUAACCCACCAAUUUUACGAAAAUCUCAAAUAAACUCAACAUACCUCUGAUUUGCUGUGACUUUCCAUUGAAGCAGUUCGCCCAAAUCGCACUGUAAGCUUAAGCGUAUUACCUCUGUAGCAUAACCCCUUUGUUCGCCCAAAUUGUAGAGAAAUCGCAGUCGCAGUUCACCCAAAUCGCUACCGUCUCCCCAAUAUCCGUCCGCCAGUAAGACUAGCGGAUGCUGGUAAUCAGAAGCAUCUGAUUUGUCUUGGGUAAUUGGGGGCAUAAGUGUCUUAAAAUUUCACUAACAACGUCCGCUAGUAAUACUAGCGGACGGUGUUUUUCCAUAUCAAAUCAUAGCCAUUCAUUUAUUAAACCUAUGGUAUAGAUGCUAUAUAUAUAUACACACGACUUAAUCAACUGGGUGAAGUUGAUGAUAGAAUUCACAAGAGAUCGUUGCUGAAAGUUUGUUAAAUCAUGCAGUCAGAAAAUUUCAAGUGGAGUAUUAUUUUGUAAGGUUUAUACAACAAGAUUACUAAAUAAAGAUUUAAGUUUUAAGGACAACUAAUUCAGGUUUCUUUUGGAUGAUUCUGGUCUGUGGGUCAACGGAAUAGAAAAUUUAUUGGGUGUGUACACGUAAGUACUCCCUCCGUUCCUUAAUAUAGGUCGUUUUAGAGAAAUAUUUUUGUUCCUAAAUAUAAGUCGUUUGAGAAUUUCAAGUAAGUAUUAAUUGUUUAGUUUCCAAUAUUACCUCAAGUAAUAAAUAUAACUUUGGUUCUCUCACUAUUUUUUGUCCAAUAAAUAACAUUUUCUUUUUCCAAUACAAGGGCAAUAUAGACAAUUGAUAGUAUAUUUAAUAUUUUACAAUCAUUUCCUUAAUACUUGUGCAUAACUCUAAAACGAUCUAUAUUAAAAAACGGAUGAAGUAAGUUACAAAAAAAAAUUAAUGAUUAGCCUCCUUUACGCGUCAUCUAUCUCUCUCUAUAUUAUUCCCCAAAAUAAGUAAAAUAUAAUUUUCAAACACAUUAAGAAAAUUAAAAGUAGAAUAUUAAACUAUCUCAAUUUUUUUAAGACAAAAAUAUUUAUAUUUUUAGUCAAUUUUUUGGGGACGGAGAUAACAUUAGAUUAUAAAACAGUUUAAGGCCGCCGCACACGAGUUGCGUGGAGUAAAAUAGAAUUUUUUAAAAUUUAGAAAAAUAAAUAGAAUAA
This 1602-nucleotide long non-coding RNA is filed under the name Panax ginseng (ginseng). RNAcentral's name for it is "long non-coding RNA (PGIN_LNC011546)". The record is from RNAcentral. Lineage: Eukaryota; Viridiplantae; Streptophyta; Magnoliopsida; Apiales; Araliaceae.